UUCAGCAACAGUGAAACAGAUAUGCAAGAGCAAUCCUUGAUUUGUGUGUUACUUAGAACUCCUUGGAAGGAAAUCUAAUGCACUGGUGAGACCAAUGGAUAAUGAGAGACAUGUGGUGAUCUGUCCUAGGGAAGAUACUGACAUGUUCCAGAUAUGGCUGCCCUGCCCUCCAAUCUCCUACAUAUGCAUGAAUGAACUCAGAAACAAAGUAAAAGUUGGGAAAUAUCUAUAAGCAGAUUUUCAACAAGAGCAACAAAAAGCCUCUGUGAUGUGAAACAUGAAAAUUGCAAUAUGACUUUAAGCAUAAUCAAAAUUAAUUGAGACCAGUAGACCAGUGUAAGAAUUUCUAUAAGAAGUUACACAGAGAGCCAAGCUGCAGAACCCUAUCAAUGGUAAUCUCAGAAACCUCCAGUUAAAAAUCAUCCCCAGAAGGUGAGGUCCCGGUCAUUAGUAAGAAAUGGUACGAACAGGACUGUUUCUUUGCAGGUGUAGCAGUGAAGAAAUAGAGAGAAGGUGAGGAAAAUGCAGAGCGUACUGCUUUGAAAGUACCAGCAGAAAAACACCUUCCAAAAGUAAUAGGAAAAUCAUGUUGGAUGCAUUAAUGGGAGGCAGCACCUGAUGAAGAAACUUUGGGAGCAUAGGUCAGGUAGGGAAAAGCCUCUAGCACCUGCUUAAAUUCGGAGAUGCAGAAAAGUCAUGGCUGGACAGAAGACAAUAUUGGGAAAAAAUCUCAAAUUAUCUUAUCAUGUGAGGAAGAAGCCCUUUGCAGAGGCUAGAGAAGUUUACCCAGUCACUCUUGUUUAUACCCCGCCUUGUCAGGAAUGAAAUUCUUGCAAAGAACUAGCACAGAAAUCGCCACUUGCCCAAAUAUAGGUAAUCAAAAGGAAGACAGAAAAUAUUCAAAUAAAGAUUAGAUAAGUGACAGAGAGCUACUUAAAAUCUUUCUACAAACUAAUUCCUCAAGUAAAUGUUUCCAUGGAAUAAGCAUUACAAGCCCUGUACCAUGAAUUAAAAACAACUGAGUGAUGAUGAACCAAGCAGAGAAUGCAGGGAAAGUUCAAGAAUACAAGAACUCGCGCAAGAUACGGCCAGACAACCCAUAAACGUGAAAGAACUGACAGAACUCCAAAGAGAAAGGAUCACAAAGCAUAAUAAAACUCCUAGAGAAAUGAGAAAAAGUUAAAGGCCCAACAAUGUAUAAAAAUCUAUAUUUAACUGCUCUGAUUGAAAUGGCUCCUUAAAUCGCAUUAUGCAUUUUAGCUUUUUGUUUGUUGGCUUUUAUGGUCUCCU
This is a non-coding RNA of Odocoileus virginianus texanus, 1290 nucleotides long. NCBI's taxonomy places the organism in Eukaryota, Metazoa, Chordata, Mammalia, Artiodactyla, Cervidae. The record is from RefSeq and is a predicted model, not a curated record.